Molecule: ribosomal RNA, 253 nt
Filed under: uncultured bacterium
Lineage: Bacteria
Description: partial 16S ribosomal RNA
Rfam family: Bacterial small subunit ribosomal RNA
Source: RNAcentral
UACGGGGGGGGCAAGCGUUGUUCGGAAUUACUGGGCGUAAAGGGUUUGUAGGUGGCUUGCUAAGUCAGACGUGAAAUCCCUCAGCUUAACUGGGGAACUGCGUCUGAUACUGGCGAGCUUGAGUGCAGGAGAGGAACGCGGAAUUCCAGGUGUAGCGGUGAAAUGCGUAGAUAUCUGGAGGAACACCUGUGGCGAAAGCGGCGCACUGGACCACAACUGACGCUGAGGCGCGAAAGCUAGGGGAGCAAACAGG